UUAAGCAUAUCAAUAAGCGGAGGAAAAGAAACUAACAAGGAUUCCCCUAGUAACUGCGAGUGAAGCGGGAAAAGCUCAAAUUUAAAAUCUGGCAGUUUAAUAGCUGUCCGAGUUGUAGUCUGGAGAAGUGCUUUCCGUGCUAGACCGUGUACAAGUCCCUUGGAACAGGGCGUCAUAGAGGGUGAGAAUCCCGUCUUUGACACGGACUACUAGUGCUUUGUGAUGCGCUCUCAAAGAGUCGAGUUGUUUGGGAAUGCAGCUCAAAAUGGGUGGUAAAUUCCAUCUAAAGCUAAAUACAGGCGAGAGACCGAUAGCGAACAAGUACCGUGAGGGAAAGAUGAAAAGCACUUUGGAAAGAGAGUUAAACAGUACGUGAAAUUGCUGAAAGGGAAACGCUUGAAGUCAGUCGCGUUGUCCGGAAAUCAGCCUUGCAUUUAUUUGCUUGGUGUAUUUUCUGGUUGACGGGCCAGCAUCGAUUUUAAUCGUUGGAUAAAGGCGAGGGAAAUGUGGCACCUUCGGGUGUGUUAUAGUCCCUUGUCACAUACAACGGUCGGGAUCGAGGAACUCAGCACGCCUUUAUUGGUCGGGGUUCGCCCACGUUUCGUGCUUAGGAUGUUGGCAUAAUGGCUUUAAACGACCCGUCUUGAAACACGGACCAAGGAGUCUAACAUACCUGCGAGUGUUUGGGUGGUAAACCCGAGCGCGUAAUUAAAGUAAUAGUUGAGAUCCCCGUUACAAGGGAGCAUCGACGCCCGGACUUGACCUUCUGUGAUAGCUCUGCGGUAGAGCAUGUAUGUUGGGACCCGAAAGAUGGUGAACUAUGCCUGAAUAGGGUGAAGCCAGAGGAAACUCUGGUGGAGGCUCGUAGCGAUUCUGACGUGCAAAUCGAUCGUCAAAUUUGGGUAUAGGGGCGAAAGACUAAUCGAACCAUCUAGUAGCUGGUUCCUGC
RNAcentral lists this ribosomal RNA (949 nucleotides) under Fibroporia vaillantii. RNAcentral's name for it is "LSU rRNA". It matches the Rfam family "Eukaryotic large subunit ribosomal RNA", at positions 34 to 961 of the family's 3401-position model. Lineage: Eukaryota; Fungi; Basidiomycota; Agaricomycetes; Polyporales; Fibroporiaceae. The record is from RNAcentral.